Panicum hallii is the source of this 1334-nucleotide long non-coding RNA. RefSeq lists it as uncharacterized. The record is from RefSeq and is a predicted model, not a curated record. Lineage: Eukaryota; Viridiplantae; Streptophyta; Magnoliopsida; Poales; Poaceae. The transcript has 2 exons.
UCUGACGCUGAGUUGUUUUGAGACUCAUUGGUGAAGACCAAAAUAUUGAGUUUUAUAUGCGCUCUGGUCACAGGUCUUAUUCUUCAUACCCUGAAUCUGUAUAUUUUGGGUGGUGGGUGGUGUGUAUUCAUGCUCAUGUACUUGGACUGCGAGAUUUGCUGUACCCGUAGAGGCAACAAAUCUAAUAGUGAUAGUGCUGAGUUUGUGGAAACGGUAUAAUGAAGUAGGUCACCAUAUUAUUCUUUUACCAUGAUGUACUAAAAACAUCAUGGCGCCAUUAUUCAUCUAGGAGAUCUUGAUAUUUUCUCCCUUGUGACAUGUAACCCGCAAUUAAUUUGAAACUGUGCUGCCUGAGUACUUAUUGAUCCGAAAGUAGCCAUUUGUACAAUUUUAUUAGUGGUCAUCUUUAUGCCUUAAUAACGAACUGUCCAGUGCAUACGAUGAUAGUUAAUUUGUUGAAAUAUUACAGUCAAUAUGCCAACCUGGGGCAUGAUGUUUUUCUUUUGAGUUAUUGUUCGCUGCUUGUUCCUCAUUUGGUCAGUAGGCUGGCACAUUUCAGCAGACAUCAAGUUUCAUAGGUUGUGUUUGGAUGGGUAGCAAAGGGUCUAGCCAGGGUUAGCUAAUGCAGGUUCGGUCUGUUUGGUUGCCUGUAGAGGCAUGCUAGCCAGGCUUACCUAAUGCAAAAGACGUCCCUUGGCCUGGCUUCUGGCUUCAGUAGUACCCGAAAAUCGACCAUUGUAGCUAAGACGGGCUUGUACUAGCCAAGCUGAUGCAUCCCCUCACCUUCCUCCCGCUGUUCCGCUUUGCACCUCCGCCGCUACAAGUUUGCAAGGUUGUCCACGGGCAUCAGAUCGAAGACCCUGCCGGCACAUGGAGGAGACUCCGGGAAGGUCGAGGCUCGAGACUCCUGGGACGACGCCGUCGUCGCCGAUGGGGGCGCAGGGCUGGCCGCGGGCGCCUCCCCUUUUUGAUCUCGCCUACGAAGUUCCAUCCUCGAUUGGAGGGAAGUAAGAACGGAGUACGGAGGAGUCAAAUCCAUCAAGUACACGGUUGAGCGCAGGCUCCGCGCGAGCUGGUGGCCGAUGCCGCCGUCGUUGCUGCGGGAGACUGAGAGCCUAGAUCAUGUUUGUUUGUUCCUCUUUGGAUUUUGAGGAAGCCUCUUCCUUUUGCUUGCUUGCCCCUCCGUGAGUUUACAGUGAUUCAACGGCCUGCUUGCUCCUCCAUGAGUUCACACUGGUUCAGCGGAUAACCUGUUCGUCAAAAUGUGCUUCCGACGAGAACUGUUGAAGUAUUCAUAUGAUUCAGAUUUAUUCUACAGAAAGAAGAGAUGAUUU